CAGUCGCCACGGUAAAACGGAGGAUCCGAGCGUUAUCCGGAAUUAUUGGGUUUAAAGGGUGCGUAGGCGGAUAGAUAAGUCAGUGGUGAAAGACGGUGGCUCAACCAUCGCAGUGCCGUUGAUACUGUUUAUCUUGAAUAUGGAUGAGGUAGGCGGAAUGUGGCAAGUAGCGGUGAAAUGCAUAGAUAUGCCACAGAACACCGAUUGCGAAGGCAGCUUACCAAGGCAAAAUUGACGCUGAGGCACGAAAGCGUGGGGAUCGAACAGGAUUAGAUACCCCUGUAGUCCCUGUCUCUUAUAC
This 301-nucleotide ribosomal RNA is filed under the name uncultured bacterium. Its description in RNAcentral is "partial 16S ribosomal RNA". It matches the Rfam family "Bacterial small subunit ribosomal RNA", at positions 509 to 807 of the family's 1533-position model. The record is from RNAcentral.